This 1459-nucleotide long non-coding RNA is filed under the name Equus asinus (donkey). RNAcentral's name for it is "lncRNA (ENSEASG00005035808.1)". The record is from RNAcentral. Lineage: Eukaryota; Metazoa; Chordata; Mammalia; Perissodactyla; Equidae.
UUUUGCUGGAUAAUUCAUAGUAUUCAUCACAUAGACUUUUUAGUCAAUGAUUUUUGCCGUCAGCAAAGUGUUCUACUUCUCAGGCUUUAAAAUGCAAGCCCCAAAUCUGUAACUAUCAGAUUCUCUAGGGCCUAGAGUAAAUACAUUGAUUGCAUUGGUUUUAAAAAGAAGACCAUAAAUUCUUUGACACAGCAAGUGUUUCUAUGUUAAAACGGUUGCUGUCUUAGAAUACUCCCUCUCAGCUUGUGUUUUCUUAGAACCUAGCCACCAUUCUGAGAGAAAGCAAAGCCUCAUGGAGAGGCUAUAUGUAGGUGUUCUGGUCAACAGUCCCAGCUGGGCCCAGCCUUCAAAUCAUUCCAGACAGCAGGAUGAGACAUAAGAAGAUAUUCAAAUACCAAAGUAACUAUGGAAAUAGGAGGAACAAAGAAGAAUUCUUGAAAGUCUCUAGGUAAAGAUAAAAGGAAAACAGAAUAAAGAAGAUCUCACAGCAGGGGCUUGUGACAGAUCUCCAAAUCAGGAAGUCAGGGAAGAUGAAGUGGAACGAAGCCAAAUCUCCACAUCCAGAGAGAUGGCCCAUAGAUUUCAACUACCCAGUUAACUUUCAGAUAACUCACUCAGGAGAAUAGAACUGGAAAUGUACAAAGCAUAAGUUUAAUUCUCUCAGUAAAUGAUGCAGAAAGAGUAGCAAGAAUUUUGAAAAUGGUCUCACACCCGGAAGAAGAUUUUAUAGACUGCCUGAAUGUCUUAACCUGGAGAAGAACGAUCCUGGAUUAGCCAAAGUCUAACGGCAGCAAUGAAGAAUUUCUACAUAGAGGCCGAAGACCAGCUGUUCUCAAUAUCGACUCAGCUCUGCCGAGUGGAAACUGAUCUGAACAGCAGCAUGAGAAACUUAAAUAAUAUGUGGAAGAAUUUCCUGACAGUGAAAGUUGUUAAUGUUGGGAGAUUGUAGAAUCUUCUCUGGAGGUUUAAAAAAUAACAUAGCUCUUCAUCUGCCUGGGAUAGAAUUAUUGUGAUGCAGUCUAAAAGCAGGCAAAUGGAAGAUAAUCGCUCGAGGUUUUUUCUGCCUCACAGUUUUUAUAAUUCUGUCACUUCUUAGAAAAACUUUAUCAAAUCAAUAAAAAAAUAAAAUUACAGGCAGAAAAGCAAGGCAAAAGAAGGGAAAAGUAAUCGAAUUAUUAAUUCCGUCUUGGGUCAGGUGUGAAGAAGAGACUAAAAAGCUUCAAUAUUUGGUAUUUUAGAAAUAAUUUUGAAGUCACGUAGUCUAUUGAGUGUUCUAGAACUCCCAGGUUGGUGAUCAACUGGUUGCUAACUAAUGGGGGGUCCUGUGUUUUCCUUCCUAGUCCAGAAUACUUCUGUUUCCCCUAAUUCACUUGACAACUAACCUCAUCUUGUAGAGUAUUUUGUAUAUGUUUAUAAAUUUCUUCGUGUUGUGAACGUAAGCAAAUUUACAGAAUAAAGC